UACGUAGGUGGCAAGCGUUGUCCGGAUUUACUGGGCGUAAAGCGUGUGUAGGCGGACCUUUAAGUAGAAAGUGAAAGGUUGGUGCUCAACACCAACACUGCUCUCUAUACUGGAGGUCUUGAGUGUCGGAGAGGAAGAUGGAACUGCACGUGUAGCGGUGAAAUGCGUUGAGAUGUGCAGGAACACCAAUGGCGAAGGCAAUCUUCUGGACGAAAACUGACGCUGAGACACGAAAGCCAAGGUAGCAAACAGG
RNAcentral lists this ribosomal RNA (253 nucleotides) under uncultured bacterium. Its description in RNAcentral is "partial 16S ribosomal RNA". It matches the Rfam family "Bacterial small subunit ribosomal RNA", at positions 524 to 776 of the family's 1533-position model. The record is from RNAcentral.